Molecule: long non-coding RNA, 1234 nt
Organism: Monomorium pharaonis (pharaoh ant)
Lineage: Eukaryota; Metazoa; Arthropoda; Insecta; Hymenoptera; Formicidae
Exons: 2
Source: RefSeq, a predicted model, not a curated record
GCGAUACGGGAACGCGAUCGAUCUCCGCGGUCGUCGUGGCCGCGGGACGCGGCGAACGAGCGCGGGAAGCGCGCGAGUAACGUCGGCAACGCUAUUCCGCGGGACGCUCCGCGAACGUCCCGGGGUUCCUGUCGCGAACAACGACGAUCAACGACGACGACGCGUCCGGCCUUCGUCGCGGCGUCGUCGAGGAGCGGGGCAGAAUCGUGGACUCGUGACACAUGCCACUACGAGAGUCAAAUCGAGACUCGUCGUCGGGUCGUCGAGCGACCGCUCGUUCCGUCGGCGGCAUGCUUGCGGGAAAUAAAAAAAAAUUUUUUUUUUUUCGGUAAACUAACUCUCUUUCUGUCAGUUCGUCCUCUUAUUUACAUCCAACAUCCAACUCGAGGUGCGGGAUUAGAGAUUCAACGGUCCAUCGGGAGACCCCUGGCGGACGACCGUACGCGACAGCGUCGCUCCUCGACGGCACACAAGAUGGCGAUUUCUCGAAUGUGCGAAUGUAUGGAUGUACGUGUAUGUGGCCGCACGUGUCACACUCGGUAACUCUCGAACGUACUCUGUGCACCUCGCACACUAUCCCGCCAAACCGAACUCUCACCGCUUGUUGGAAUCACGACGCGGAACGCCGAGACCUCGUUCGUCGCAGCUCGGAUCCGACUGUGACGACGACGAUAUCGAUGACGACGACGACGAUGACGAGACGCGCGUAGGAGCGGGACUGUUCCCGAUAUUCUUGACAUUGAACGAGACAUCCGCCUUCCCGCUCCGAUGACGUAACAAAAUGGGGAAAGCGGGGGAAAAGAGAAGAAAAAGAAAGAGGAGAUACGUACGGCGUGAUUAGAUAUACGCGAUGGUGCGUCUGACUCUGCGCGUCUCCCUCUUUUCGGUCGCCAUUUAAGCCUGCGUCCCGUGCGACGAUUGGCGACGUGCUCGUGGCGUCCGUCUGACGCGGCCCAAUCAUCUGCGGAAGGACCGAUAUUGAUGAGUCAUCGUGUUUGCGAUACGCUCCGACGAUACCUGACCGAUCCGGAAGUAACGUUGCGCUGUUACGCUUUGGAAAAACAGAGGUAGACUAGAAAAAUUAAACGUAAGUAUGUAUAUCUAUUCAGGUAUUGGAAUUUAUCGUUCGGUACAAAACACAAAAAGAACAUGAAAAUGUACCAAAAUCGUUUAGUGUUUUUUUUUUUUUUUUUUCGAGGACCUUUUCGGAGAACAAAAAUAAAAAAAGAAAAAA